GGGGGUUGCCUAGAGGGUUCACGCACAGAAGGGCGGAUUCAAUUUUUUCGGGGUCGAGGGCACUGUUCAUCCUCCAGUCGCUCACUUUUCUCCAUCCCUCCUCUCCAGUCCCUCACACUCUCUCUUAACCUCCAUACGCUGCUCCACUCUCCACAGCUCUCCCUCUCGUUUCCGGCCACCCAACGCCUCUACAGUCAUCGUCGCCGUCGCCUAAGGCCACCCACGGCCAUAGCACCGCCCACAGAUCCCUUGGAUCCGCGCAACCCAGCUCAACCGUAGGCUCUCUCUAUCUCCAUCUUCUCCCUCGCACCAUUGCUCAAAUCGGCCACCAUCACCACCCCGUUCCAUCACCGGCCACGUACCAGCGAGCAACCGCCAUCCCAGCAAACUCCACUCGCCCAAUCACCAGCUACCCACAGCAGCGAACCAGCAGCGGCUCUCCUUCAUGGCCAGCAGCCACACCAGCCGCAGCCCCGACCACCUCUCAUCUCUCUCACAACUCUCUCUCUCUCUCUCUCUCUCUCUAGCAACCGUUUUCGUAGACCCUCCAAUUGAAACCCCUCUCACGUCGGCAUCACGACGCCCUAUGAAUCAUCCUCCACCACCUUCGGCAGAUCCCAUUUCCUCCAGUUCUCUCCCUUCUCUCGGACCUCCUCAUUCUCCCUUCGGCAUCUUCCCCCGAGCUCCACCAGAUCCUGACCUCACUCACGGCACCCAGCAGUAGCUACCAUCUCCGGACCCUCACGACGGCUUCAUCUACGUCAGCCACGGCCACCCGCCUCGGCCAAGGUCGCCUCACAACACCCAACAUCUCUACUAUUCACGCACAACUUUUUUCCACCCACUCGACAUUAGAGUGAAUGUCAUACUCCGGAAUUGAGGGGGACGAUUGGAUUCGCAACUGUGGCUGUGGUUCAGAGGAACUUCUUGGCUUUAAUCGGGUCAGUGCUUGGGAUAGUAAGGGAUGGCAUUUCUUGUUCAGACGAGUUGAAGAAGGUGCACAUAGGUACUCAUCAACCUAGUCCACCCCCGAUGCAACAGUCGUUGUCGCAGGAGUUGUUGUUGGGCCCAAGCGAGGAUAAAAUUAAAGAAUUCCGCACCAUAUGCCACAUUAUUAAUAUUUUGGCCUUCAUCAAUCAUUCGACUUAAAUAAUUCUACCAUUUUAACAUAGCUAUGAAAUCACAAUAUGUUAAAGUUGGUAGAGUCGAUCAAAUAGAUUUAUAAUGAGCAUUCUCUGCAAUAGAAGUUCGAACUUUUUGUUGUAGUUUUCAAAUUCGAACUAUGAAGAAUAAAAAAAUGUAAUGGGAUAGAAGAUGAGCUGCCUUUAAGCUUCUAGCUCAUGUAAUAAAUGGAUUUUGAAUUCAAA
Long non-coding RNA from Malania oleifera, 1367 nucleotides. RefSeq lists it as uncharacterized. The record is from RefSeq and is a predicted model, not a curated record. The transcript is spliced from 2 exons. Lineage: Eukaryota; Viridiplantae; Streptophyta; Magnoliopsida; Santalales; Ximeniaceae.